UACGGAGGGGGCUAGCGUUGUCCGAAGUUACUGGGCGUAAAGCGCGCGUAGGCGGGGUGGUAAGUCCGCUGUGAAAGCCCGGAGCUUAACUCCGGAGGGUCGGUGGAUACUGCCAGUCUUGAAGGUGCUAGGGGGAGAUGGAAUUACCGGUGUAGCGGUGAAAUGCGUAGAUAUCGGUAGGAACACCAGUGGCGAAGGCGGUCUCCUGGGGCAUUCUUGACGCUGAGGCGCGAAAGCUGGGGGAGCAAACGGG
RNAcentral lists this ribosomal RNA (253 nucleotides) under uncultured bacterium. RNAcentral describes it as "partial 16S ribosomal RNA". It matches the Rfam family "Bacterial small subunit ribosomal RNA", at positions 524 to 776 of the family's 1533-position model. The record is from RNAcentral.